AGAGUUUGAUCCUGGCUCAGAGUGAACGCUGGCGGCGUGCCUAACACAUGCAAGUCGAACGAUGAUGGAGAGCUUGCUCUCCUGAUUAGUGGCGCACGGGUGAGUAUACCAUAGAUAAUGUACCUCUUAGUUCGGGAUAGCCACUGGAAACGGUGAUUAAUACCGGAUACUCCUUCUUGUCUUAAGGCGAGUCGGGAAAGUUUUUUCGCUAAGAGAUCAGUCUAUGUCCUAUCAGCUAGUUGGUGAGGUAAUGGCUCACCAAGGCUAUGACGGGUAUCUGGUUUGAGAGGAUGAUCAGACACACUGGAACUGAGACACGGUCCAGACUCCUACGGGAGGCAGCAGUGAGGAAUAUUGCACAAUGGAGGAAACUCUGAUGCAGCAACGCCGCGUGGAGGAUGACGCAUUUCGGUGUGUAAACUCCUUUUAAGAGGGAAGAUAAUGACGGUAUCUCUUGAAUAAGCACCGGCUAACUCCGUGCCAGCCGCCGCGGU
Molecule: ribosomal RNA, 494 nt
Filed under: uncultured bacterium
Lineage: Bacteria
Description: bacterial SSU rRNA
Rfam family: Bacterial small subunit ribosomal RNA
Source: RNAcentral